CAGAGGGUGCGAGCGUUAAUCGGAAUUACUGGGCGUAAAGACGCGCGUAGGCGGCUUGUUAAGUCAAAUGUGAAAUCCCCGACGCUUAACUUGGGCGAUUGCAUUCGAUACUGGCAAGCUAGAGUAUGGGAGAGGAAGGUAGAAUUCCAGGUGUAGCGGUGAAAUGCGUAGAGAUCUGGAGGAAUACCGAUGGCGAAGGCAGCCUUCUGGCCUAAUACUGACGCUGAGGUGCGAAAGCAUGGGGAGCAAACAGGAUU
This 257-nucleotide ribosomal RNA is filed under the name uncultured bacterium. RNAcentral's name for it is "partial 16S ribosomal RNA". It matches the Rfam family "Bacterial small subunit ribosomal RNA", at positions 526 to 779 of the family's 1533-position model. The record is from RNAcentral.